GAUUUUUUUGUUUUGUUUUGUUUUGGAGGCCUCAUCCUACUUUGCUUUUUCCUGUUGAGAACUCUUUCUUUUACUGAACUAAAGCUAACUAUUUGUGAGAUGGAAGGCCACUUUGUGAUUAGAGGGUGCAGAACUGAGUGCUUAUUUAAGCUGCAUAAAAAGCUAAAUUAGAAUGUCAGUCACCAUAUUGGUCACCUGUGACUGGCUCACAUGCAAGCUUGUACCAGCACAUUUGUAAAUCUUCUUUCACAUUGCUUGUUGUUCUCCUGGGUACUUAUGUUUAUUCUGAAAUGCAAACAUAAAAGAAUAAGAUUUGAAAUUAAUUUCUUUUGUAUCUAUUAUGACCAGCUUUCGUUUAGAUAGAAUCUCCCUUUUGAAACUCAUUAAAACAUCACGAAAGUCCCAUGUCUCUGCCAGGGCUGGCAGGAGGAUUGUGGCCUACCCUGGGAUUUAAUCACAGCUCUGCAGUAUGCGUACUGCUGGAGUGCAGGGCAGGGGAUGGUUCUGAACCGAGCUGUGGGGGUUUCUGUGAGAAAGCAGAGGUUGACUAAAUGAGGACUAACUGCAGCCCUGCUGGUGCACAGCCUCUAACUGUUUGAAGUUGGUAGCCUUUCUUUCAGAGCUUCCGACACACUCAGCAGCAGCCUGCCAGUGCCGUGCUGCAUGCUCACAGGCUGGAAGCAGUGAGUUGCUGGGGGAACUGCCCGCUGUGCCCCUGCACUGCGCAGGCCCUAGCAGCUCUCCUGCUGCAACCUGGCAUUUCCACAUGCUGCAUUGCACCUCCUCCUCACUUUUGCCCGAUGAGCACACUGAUGGCAGCUAAGAAAGAUGAGAGAAUGACAGCUUGAGAGUGAGUGUGGUGAAAGCUGGGUGCCUUGAGCUCUAGCUUGAGCUGCAGUUCCCUUCCAUCGCAGCAAACCCACAAGAGUCUUUCUGCCAUGUUCUCCUUUCAGGACUUGCCCACCUGACUCCUGGCUCAGCAAUGAGAAAUGGAAGUACAGGAAGUCCCAUGGUGAAUGCUGGAGGGAGAGAGCUCUCUUAAGAGUGAAGUUUAACAGCUAAGGGAACAGUUACAUAAAAAGGAUGAAUGAGCAACAACAAAAGAGGAAGGCUGGGAUCAUAUAAUCUGAAAACUGGAACCACCAUUUAUGAUUUCCUAUUUAGCUGCCUUAGCUUGUGAUCCUGUGAACGUGCUGGUACCAGAGCCUAGAUGCAAGGAGCCACGGGUCAGCCUUCUGAGUCUUUACUAGCAAACUGCAGCUUUGCAAGAUGGGAA
This 1276-nucleotide long non-coding RNA is filed under the name Gallus gallus (chicken). Its description in RNAcentral is "long non-coding RNA NONGGAT006651". Lineage: Eukaryota; Metazoa; Chordata; Aves; Galliformes; Phasianidae. The record is from RNAcentral.